UACGGAGGGGGCUAGCGUUGUUCGGAAUUACUGGGCGUAAAGCGCACGUAGGCGGCUUUGUAAGUUAGAGGUGAAAGCCCGGAGCUCAACUCCGGAAUUGCCUUUAAGACUGCAUCGCUUGAAUCAUGGAGAGGUGAGUGGAACUCCGAGUGUAGAGGUGAAAUUCGUAGAUAUUCGGAAGAACACCAGUGGCGAAGGCGGCUCACUGGUCCGGUACUGACGCUGAGGUGCGAAAGCGUGGGGAGCAAACAGG
This 253-nucleotide ribosomal RNA is filed under the name uncultured bacterium. RNAcentral describes it as "partial 16S ribosomal RNA". It matches the Rfam family "Bacterial small subunit ribosomal RNA", at positions 524 to 776 of the family's 1533-position model. The record is from RNAcentral.